GGAAGGAUCAUUAGUUAUAAUCCAUAUUGAAAUGGAAUUGAUUUAUUCUUUACUUUCAAAUCCUGUCGAUAAUUUUUUUAAUUUCCAACGAAAUAAAAAUGAGUAACCAAAUAUAACUUUUAACAAUGGAUCUCUUGGCUCUCGCAACGAUGAAGAACGCAGCGAAAUGCGAUAAGUAAUGUGAAUUGCAGAAUUCAGUGAAUCAUCGAAUCUUUGAACGCAUAUUGCGCCCUUUGGUAUCCCGGGGGGCAUGCCUGUUUGAAGGCCGGAAAGUCGGCUAUAUACCGAGGGUUUUAUAGCAAGUAUCAACUCUAUAUUUAUACUUAUCCUAGUAAUAAUAUACAGACGUACUGAAGUCACUGUCUUACACAUUUAAUUCAGCUGACACCUCUUAUAUCGUCGCUUCCGGUUAUGGGUACCUCUCCGUGCAAGCACAGAGAUGCUUGAAAGUAAGACACGAAUUGAAGUGCUUCCAUUUCUGCUGGAAUCAAUAUGUUGGCAUCCUGAACUUAUCAUCGCAAUGAAGAUCUGUUGAUGGGUUGGUCACAUUUUUUCGCAGAAGGAUACCUUUGUCAUGUCACUAGUUCCAAGGAGGUGUGGAGGCUUGCCUUCCAUCUAGUUUUAUACGCUUCAAAUCAGGUAGGAGUACCCGCUGAACUUAAGCAUAUUAAUAAGCGGAGGAAAAGAAACUAACAAGGAUUCCCCUAGUAACGGCGAGUGAAGCGGGAAGAGCUCAAAAUUAGAAUCUGAAUAGUCCGCUAUUCCGAAUUGUUAUCUAUGGGUCGGAUCUUGGUCCUCAGUAUCGGUAUAAAUCCUUUGGAACAGGGUAUCGUAGAGGGUGAAAAUCCCGUCUUUGGACCGAUAACGCUGAUGUGACCGGUAGAGAUCAUACCCUCAGUGAGUCGCAUUGUUUGGGAAUGCAGUGCAAAUAGGGUGGUAAAUUUCAUCCAAAGCUAAAUAAUGGCGAGAGACGAUAGCGAACAAGUACCGUGAGGGAAAGAUGAAAAGAACUUUGAAAAGAGAGUUAAAUAGUACGUGAAAUUGUUAAUAGGGAAACGCAUGGAAUUAGUAAUCUCUAACGGCAAAUCAAGCCUGUUUAGUUAUUGUGUAAAUCUAUAAGUCCAUCUGAAUAAGAUGAAGACUUUGUAGAGAUAUGCAAUGACCGGUUGCACUUUGCUGUAGAGAGGUCAACAUCAGUUUGGAUCCAACGGACAAACUUUUGGUGGAAUGUGGCCGCACUCGCGGGUGUUAUAGCUGCCAUUUGCCUACGUUGAUCUGAACUGAGGAAUGCAGUGCUGAACACGAUAAUUUGGCUCUUCUGGCUCCUUGGUGCUAUAGCAGGCCAACCUGUUGACUGCUGUGGCUCUAAAGCAGAAGGAUAUCUUAUCAGUUAAAGCACUUAGGAUGUUGACGAAAUGGUUCUAUACGACCCGUCUUGAAACACGGACCAAGGAGUCUAACAUAUAUGCGAGUAUUCGGGUGGCAAACCCGGAUGCGAAAUGAAAGUGACACGAAUGUGAAACGCAAGUGGCAACAUCAGCCAAUCUUGAAAUUAUUGGAUAGAUUUGAGUUGGAGCAUAUCUGUUGGGACCCGAAAGAUGGUGAACUAUACUUGAAUAGGGUGAAGCCAGAGGAAACUCUGGUGGAGGCUCGUAGCGAUUCUGACGUGCAAAUCGAUCGUCAAAUUUGAGUAUAGGGGCGAAAGACUAAUCGAACCAUCUAGUAGCUGGUUCCUGC
Molecule: unclassified non-coding RNA, 1737 nt
Filed under: uncultured fungus
Lineage: Eukaryota; Fungi
Description: sequence contains 18S rRNA gene, ITS1, 5.8S rRNA gene, ITS2, 28S rRNA gene
Rfam family: Eukaryotic large subunit ribosomal RNA (bases 626-1737)
Source: RNAcentral